RNAcentral lists this ribosomal RNA (255 nucleotides) under uncultured bacterium. Its description in RNAcentral is "partial 16S ribosomal RNA". It matches the Rfam family "Bacterial small subunit ribosomal RNA", at positions 1229 to 1500 of the family's 1533-position model. The record is from RNAcentral.
UGGCCGGGUACAAUGCGAAGCGAAGCAGCGAUGUGAAGCAAAUCGCACCAAAGCCGGUCCCAGUUCGGAUAAGAGGCUGAAACUCGCCUCUUUGAAGUCGGAAUCGCUAGUAAUCGCAGAUCAGCAUGUUGCGGUGAAUACGUUUCCUGGUCUUGUACACACCGCCCGUCAAACCAUGAGAGUCGCCAACACCCGAAGUCCGCUUUGCGGCCUAAGGUGGGGGAGAUGAUUGGGGUUAAGUCGUAACAAGGUAAC